RNAcentral lists this ribosomal RNA (460 nucleotides) under uncultured bacterium. Its description in RNAcentral is "partial 16S ribosomal RNA". It matches the Rfam family "Bacterial small subunit ribosomal RNA", at positions 338 to 795 of the family's 1533-position model. The record is from RNAcentral.
CCUACGGGAGGCAGCAGUGAGGAAUAUUGGUCAAUGGACGAGAGUCUGAACCAGCCAAGUAGCGUGAGGGAUGACUGCCCUGUGGAUUGUAAACUUCUUUUAUCAAGGAAUAAAACGCGGCACGUGUGCCUUUUUGCGUGUACUUUAUGAAUAAGGAUCGGCUAACUCCGUGCCAGCAGCCGCGGUAAUACGGAGGAUCCGAGCGUUAUCCGGAUUUAUUGGGUUUAAAGGGAGCGUAGAUGGGUUGUUAAGUCAGGUGUGAAAGUUUGCGGCUCAACCGGAAAAUUGCAAUUGAUACUGGCAGUCUCGAGUAGAGUUGAGGUAGGCGGAAUUCGUGGUGUAGCGGUGAAAUGCUUAGAUAUCACGAAGAACUCCGAUUGCGAAGGCAGCUUACCAAACUGUGACUGACACUGAUGCUCGAAAGUGUGGGUAUCAAACAGGAUUAGAUACCCUGGUAGUC